CAUGCAUGUAUAAGUAUAAACGCUUUAAGCGUGAAACUGCGUACGGCUCAUUACAACAGCAAUAAUUUACUUGAUCUUGACAACCUACAUGGAUAACUGUGGUAAUUCUAGAGCUAAUACAUGCACCAAAGCUCCGACCCGCGAGGGGAGAGCGCAUUUAUUAGAACAAAACCAAGCGGCUUCGGCCGUCCAUUGUUGACUCAGAAUAACUAAGCUGAUCGUACGGUCUUGUACCGACGACGUGUCUUUCAAGUUUCUGCUUUAUCAACUUUCGAUGGUAGUGUAUCUGACUACCAUGGUGGUGACGGGUAACGGAGGAUAAGGGUUCGACUCCGGAGAAGGGGCCUGAGAAAUGGCCACUACGUCUAAGGAUGGCAGCAGACGCGCAAAUUACCCACUCUCAAUGCGAGGAGGUAGUGACGAGAAAUAACGAGGCCGUUCUCUUUGAGGCCGGUCAUCGGAACGGGUACAAUUUAAACCCUUUAACGAGUAUCUAUGAGAGGGCAAGUCUGGUGCCAGCAGCCGCGGUAAUUCCAGCUCUCAAAAUGCAUAGAAUUAUUGCUGCGGUUAAAAAGCUCGUAGUUGGAUCUGUGCCUGUGCUCCGGUCCACCUCGCGGUGCGCACUGGGUGUCACAGGCUUUCCUGCAGUGUUCAGCCCCGGCGCCUUCACCGGCACCGGUGUGUUGAUGCUGCAAGUUUACUUUGAACAAAUCGGAGUGCUCCAAACAGGCGUUUGCUUGAACGUUCGUGCAUGGAAUAAUAGAAGAGGAUUUCGGUUCAAUUUUAUUGGUUUUAUUGGCCGAGAUAAUGGUUAACAGAGACAAACGGGGGCAUUUGUAUUGCU
RNAcentral lists this ribosomal RNA (844 nucleotides) under Pratylenchus thornei. RNAcentral describes it as "SSU rRNA". It matches the Rfam family "Eukaryotic small subunit ribosomal RNA", at positions 50 to 901 of the family's 1831-position model. The record is from RNAcentral. Lineage: Eukaryota; Metazoa; Nematoda; Chromadorea; Rhabditida; Pratylenchidae.